Molecule: ribosomal RNA, 255 nt
Filed under: uncultured bacterium
Lineage: Bacteria
Description: partial 16S ribosomal RNA
Rfam family: Bacterial small subunit ribosomal RNA
Source: RNAcentral
UUGCUUCUUUGCUGGCGACCGGCGCACGGGUGAGUAACACGUAUCCAACCCGCCCUUUACUCGGGAUAGCCUUUCGAAAGAAAGAUUAAUACCCGAUAGUAUAAUGAUUCCGCAUGGUUUCAUUAUUAAAGGAUUCCGGUAAAGGAUGGGGAUGCGUUCCAUUAGGUUGUUGGUGAGGUAACGGCUCACCAAGCCUUCGAUGGAUAGGGGUUCUGAGAGGAAGGUCCCCCACAUUGGAACUGAGACACGGUCCAA